CGGAGGAUGAGAGGGCCAUCGGCGGCCCUGCCCGUCUCGAAAACGGGAUGCCGCGUCCGCGGCCGGGUUCGAUUCCUACGUCCUCCGC
This 88-nucleotide transfer RNA is filed under the name Myxococcales bacterium. RNAcentral describes it as "tRNA-Ser". RNAcentral also lists the same sequence under 1 other name. The record is from RNAcentral. Lineage: Bacteria; Pseudomonadati; Myxococcota; Myxococcia; Myxococcales.